This is a non-coding RNA of Oryctolagus cuniculus (rabbit), 331 nucleotides long. The record is from RefSeq and is a predicted model, not a curated record. Lineage: Eukaryota; Metazoa; Chordata; Mammalia; Lagomorpha; Leporidae.
CUAUCUACUUACUUUUAAGAGCUAUUAAUGACUGAUAUAGCGACCUGACCAGCAAGCCUGAACUGCAGGUCCCUGGACCCUCUCAGAGCACCACCAAAUAGGCUGAAGGAAUCAGCUAAGACUCCAUCUGCUAACCCUGCAAAGAUCUUUGCCAGACAAAAUGGGAGACACGAGGGCUUCCAGGGCUGGAUCCAGAAGACUGUCCUCACAGAAAGCCAGAGACACAGCCAGCCACUCUGCUCACGGAGUGGACAGGAAGAGGAGGUUUGCAGGAAAGGAAAAGGUUGGGUUUCGGCAACAUGAGCCCAAUUACAUAAACUGAUUCAAAGUG